CCCUUAGAUGUUCUGGGCCGCACGCGCGCUACACUGAUGCAUUCAACGAGUCUAAAACCUGGUCUGAUAGGGCUGGGUAAUCUUUUGAAUGUGCAUCGUGAUUGGGAUAGAUGAUUGCAAUUCUUCAUCUUCAACGAGGAAUGCCUAGUAAACGCAAGUCAUCAGCUUGCGUCGAUUACGUCCCUGCCCUUUGUACACACCGCCCGUCGCUCCUACCGAUUGGGUGUGCUGGUGAAAUGUUCGGAUCGGCCGUUUGUCGCGGUUUCCGCGUCAUGUGGCUGAGAAGUUCAUUAAACCCUCCCACCUAGAGGAAGGAGAAGUCGUAACA
RNAcentral lists this ribosomal RNA (328 nucleotides) under uncultured eukaryote. RNAcentral's name for it is "partial 18S ribosomal RNA". It matches the Rfam family "Eukaryotic small subunit ribosomal RNA", at positions 1470 to 1796 of the family's 1831-position model. The record is from RNAcentral.